This 303-nucleotide ribosomal RNA is filed under the name uncultured bacterium. RNAcentral's name for it is "partial 16S ribosomal RNA". It matches the Rfam family "Bacterial small subunit ribosomal RNA", at positions 507 to 807 of the family's 1533-position model. The record is from RNAcentral.
AGCAGUCGCCGCGGGAAUACGGAGGGGGCUAGCGUUGUUCGGAAUUACUGGGCGUAAAGCGCACGUAGGCGGCUUGGUAAGUUAGAGGUGAAAGCCCGGAGCUCAACUCCGGAAUUGCCUUUAAGACUGCCGAGCUAGUAGGUGAGAGAGGUAAGUGGAAUUCCGAGUGUAGAGGUGAAAUUCGUAGAUAUUCGGAAGAACACCAGUGGCGAAGGCGGCUUACUGGCUCAUUCUAGACGCUGAGGUGCGAAAGCGUGGGGAGCAAACAGGAUUAGAUACCCCUGUAGUCCCUGUCUCUUAUAC